Molecule: small nucleolar RNA, 125 nt
Organism: Otolemur garnettii (small-eared galago)
Lineage: Eukaryota; Metazoa; Chordata; Mammalia; Primates; Galagidae
Source: Ensembl
AUUGAUUCAAAGAAGGGGCCUGAAGAAUGACUCCUCUGUUUAUAACAAACCCAACCGGAAUCUGGGGUCAUUGUGAUGGGGGGCACAAAACUUAUGGUCUCCCCAUGCACGAACUCCCUCCAUGU